GAGGAAUCUUCCACAAUGGGCGAAAGCCUGAUGGAGCAACGCCGCGUGCAGGAUGAAGGCCUUCGGGUUGUAAACUGCUUUUAUUUGUGAAGAAUAUGACGGUAACAAAUGAAUAAGGGUCGGCUAACUACGUGCCAGCAGCCGCGGUCAUACGUAGGACCCAAGCGUUAUCCGGAGUGACUGGGCGUAAAGAGUUGCGUAGGUGGUUAUAUAAGUGAAUAGUGAAAGCCGGCGGCUCAACCGUACGGACUAUUAUUCAAACUGUAUAACUCGAGAAUGGUAGAGGUUACUGGAAUUUCUUGUGUAGGAGUGAAAUCCGUAGAUAUAAGAAGGAACACCAAUGGCGUAGGCAGGUAACUGGACCAUUUCUGACACUGAGGCACGAAAGCGUGGGGAGCGAAC
This 402-nucleotide ribosomal RNA is filed under the name uncultured bacterium. RNAcentral describes it as "bacterial SSU rRNA". It matches the Rfam family "Bacterial small subunit ribosomal RNA", at positions 356 to 773 of the family's 1533-position model. The record is from RNAcentral.